AAAAAAAAAAAUCUUUGGUUUAAUGUACCAUAAUCUGCUUGAUGUUCUUAGUUUAACAGAAGUGAAUAUACAAUAAUAUAACAACUUUAUGUCUUUAUGAAAUCCCAUAAGUUGAAUUCAUAAUUGUGGAUACCUAAUUUAAGCGAUAUUCUGACAAUGUGUACGAUGUAAGAGGGAGUGUGUCUAAGCUGCCAAUCUUAUGAUGUAAGCA
Pelobates cultripes (western spadefoot toad) is the source of this 211-nucleotide non-coding RNA. Lineage: Eukaryota; Metazoa; Chordata; Amphibia; Anura; Pelobatidae. The record is from the annotation of a GenBank genome assembly.